AGUUUGAUCCUGGCUCAGGACGAAMGCUGGCGGCGUGCUUAACACAUGCAAGUCGAACGCUGAAGCCCAGCUUGCUGGGUGGAUGAGUGGCGAACGGGUGAGUAACACGUGAGUAACCUGCCCCCUUCUUUGGGAUAACGCCCGGAAACGGGUGCUAAUACUGGAUAUUCACUGAUCUUCGCAUGGGGGUUGGUGGAAAGGUUUUUUCUGGUGGGGGAUGGGCUCGCGGCCUAUCAGCUUGUUGGUGGGGUGAUGGCCUACCAAGGCUUUGACGGGUAGCCGGCCUGAGAGGGUGACCGGUCACAUUGGGACUGAGAUACGGCCCAGACUCCUACGGGAGGCAGCAGUGGGGAAUAUUGCACAAUGGGCGAAAGCCUGAUGCAGCGACGCCGCGUGAGGGAUGACGGCCUUCGGGUUGUAAACCUCUUUCGCUCAUGGUCAAGCCGCAGCUUUGGGUUGUGGUGAGGGUAGUGGGUAAAGAAGCGCCGGCUAACUACGUGCCAGCAGCCGCGGUAAUAC
This 519-nucleotide ribosomal RNA is filed under the name uncultured Actinomyces sp. RNAcentral describes it as "bacterial SSU rRNA". It matches the Rfam family "Bacterial small subunit ribosomal RNA", at positions 10 to 526 of the family's 1533-position model. Lineage: Bacteria; Bacillati; Actinomycetota; Actinomycetes; Actinomycetales; Actinomycetaceae. The record is from RNAcentral.